RNAcentral lists this ribosomal RNA (465 nucleotides) under Vreelandella stevensii. RNAcentral describes it as "partial 16S ribosomal RNA". It matches the Rfam family "Bacterial small subunit ribosomal RNA", at positions 338 to 795 of the family's 1533-position model. Lineage: Bacteria; Pseudomonadati; Pseudomonadota; Gammaproteobacteria; Oceanospirillales; Halomonadaceae. The record is from RNAcentral.
CCUACGGGGCGCAGCAGUGGGGAAUAUUGGACAAUGGGGGGAACCCUGAUCCAGCCAUGCCGCGUGUGUGAAGAAGGCCCUCGGGUUGUAAAGCACUUUCAGUGAGGAAGAACGCCUGGUGGUUAAUACCCAUCAGGAAAGACAUCACUCACAGAAGAAGCACCGGCUAACUCCGUGCCAGCAGCCGCGGUAAUACGGAGGGUGCGAGCGUUAAUCGGAAUUACUGGGCGUAAAGCGCGCGUAGGUGGCUUGAUAAGCCGGUUGUGAAAGCCCCGGGCUCAACCUGGGAACGGCAUCCGGAACUGUCAAGCUAGAGUGCAGGAGAGGAAGGUAGAAUUCCCGGUGUAGCGGUGAAAUGCGUAGAGAUCGGGAGGAAUACCAGUGGCGAAGGCGGCCUUCUGGACUGACACUGACACUGAGGUGCGAAAGCGUGGGUAGCAAACAGGAUGAGAUACCCCAGUAGUC